RNAcentral lists this ribosomal RNA (119 nucleotides) under Pteropus alecto (black flying fox). The record is from RNAcentral. Lineage: Eukaryota; Metazoa; Chordata; Mammalia; Chiroptera; Pteropodidae.
GUCUACGGCCAUGCCACCCUGAACAAGCCAGAUCCCGUCUGAUCUUGGAAGCUAAGCAGGGUCAGGCUUGGUUAGUACUUGGAUGGGAGACUGCCUAGGAAGACCAGGUGCUGUAGGCA